Molecule: ribosomal RNA, 304 nt
Filed under: uncultured eukaryote
Lineage: Eukaryota
Description: partial 18S ribosomal RNA
Rfam family: Eukaryotic small subunit ribosomal RNA
Source: RNAcentral
CCCUUAGAUGUUCUGGGCCGCACGCGUGCUACACUGAGUGGAUCAGCGGGUCAGGUUGCGCGAAAGCGUUUCCUAAUCUUUAAAUCCGCUCGUGAUGGGGAUUGACGGUUGCAAUUUUCUGUCAUGAACGAGGAAUACCUUGUAAGCGCGGGUCAUCAUCCCGCGCUGAAUACGUCCCUGCCCUUUGUACACACCGCCCGUCGCUACUACCGAUUGAAUGGCUUAGUGAGGCCUCAGGAUCCGCGCUUAAUGUGUGGAGAAUUUGGACAAACUACGUCAUUUAGAGGAAGUAAAAGUCGUAACA